GACAUAUUCCGGUUGAUCCUGCCGGAGGCCAUUGCUAUCGGAGUCCGAUUUAGCCAUGCUAGUUGCAUGAGUUUAGACUCGUAGCAUAUAGCUCAGUAACACGUGGCCAAACUACCCUACAGACCGCGAUAACCUCGGGAAACUGAGGCCAAUAGCGGAUAUAACUCUUAUGCUGGAGUGCCGAGAGUUAGAAACGUUCCGGCGCUGUAGGAUGUGGCUGCGGCCGAUUAGGUAGAUGGUGGGGUAACGGCCCACCAUGCCGAUAAUCGGUACAGGUUGUGAGAGCAAGAGCCUGGAGACGGUAUCUGAGACAAGAUACCGGGCCCUACGGGGCGCAGCAGGCGCGAAACCUUUACACUGCACGACAGUGCGGUAGGGGGAUCCCAAGUGCACAGGCAUAGCGCCUGUGCUUUUCGGUACCGUAAGGUGGUACCAGAAUAAGGGCUGGGCAAGACCGGUGCCAGCCGCCGCGGUAAUACCGGCAGCCCAAGUGAUGGCCGAUCUUAUUGGGCCUAAAGCGUCCGUAGCUACUUUCC
Molecule: ribosomal RNA, 536 nt
Filed under: uncultured archaeon
Lineage: Archaea
Description: bacterial SSU rRNA
Rfam family: Archaeal small subunit ribosomal RNA
Source: RNAcentral